GACGAACGCUGGCGGCGUGCUUAACACAUGCAAGUCGAGCGGAAAGGCCCUUCGGGGUACUCGAGCGGCGAACGGGUGAGUAACACGUGAGUAAUCUGCCCUGCACUCUGGGAUAGCCUUGGGAAACUGAGAUUAAUACCGGAUAUGUUCACUUCCCGCAUGGGAUGGUGGUGGAAAGUUUUUCGGUGCAGGAUGUGCUCGCGGCCUAUCAGCUUGUUGGUGGGGUAAUGGCCUACCAAGGCUUCGACGGGUAGCCGGCCUGAGAGGGUGACCGGCCACACUGGGACUGAGAAACGGCCCAGACUCCUACGGGAGGAAGCAGUGGGGAAUAUUGCGGAAUGGGGGAAACCCUGACGCAGCGACGCCGCGUGGGUGAUGAAGGCCUUCGGGUCGUAAAGCCCUGUCGGAGGGAAAGAAAGGGUGAGUAGCUAAUACCUAUUCACAUUGACGGUACCCUCAGAGGAAGCACCGGCUAACUCCGUGCCAGCAGCCGCCGUAA
This 499-nucleotide ribosomal RNA is filed under the name uncultured bacterium. RNAcentral describes it as "partial 16S ribosomal RNA". It matches the Rfam family "Bacterial small subunit ribosomal RNA", at positions 28 to 523 of the family's 1533-position model. The record is from RNAcentral.